AUCUACCAAAAAUUUAGAAAAGAGCAGGGAAAAAUAUAAAUUUACAAGAAUAGUGGAAUUUGGUGACCAUCAGGGGUGUGGCAACUGGUCAGUCGAAUCGACACACCCUUCCGUUGUCAGAAACAAAUCCGUUUCAAACCCUAGAACGGUUUCCUUCUCAGUUUGAAGUCUCCGAUGAUGAAAAUAGUCAAUAAAUCAACGCUGAAAGCGUGCACCGCCGGCCAACUAAGAGACGGCGCAUCGAACGAAGUGGCGGGCGAUGUGAGGAGUGAGAAGAACGUUGGGAAAGAGAAGAGGAAGAAGAAGCAGAUGAAGAAGAAGAAGAAGAAGACGAAGGUGGUGGAAAACCCAGUUAAAAUUUUUGUGGUUGCUAAAGAAGAGAAGGUCGAGACAAGCCAAGUCUUGGAGAUUGCAGCGGCAAAUCGUGUCGAGAUAUCUGAUAACAUUGUGCUGCGGAAGCUACUUCGAGGCCCAAGGUAUUUUGAUCCCCAGGACAGUGGUUGGCGAACAUGCUAUAAUUGUGGUGAAGGUGGUCAUACAACUGUGAACUGUUCCUCUGUUAAGCGGAAGAAGCCGUGCUUUGUUUGUGGGAGUUUGGAACACCAUGCCAAGCAGUGCAAAAAGCGACGAGAUUGCUUUAUCUGUGAGAAAGGCGGCCACCGUGCAAAAAAUUGCCCAGAAAAACACAAAUGGGGAUCUCAGACUUCUAAGAAAUGCUUGAAAUGUGGAGACUUUUCUCAUGAUAUGUUCUCAUGCAAGAACAAUUAUUCUCCUGAUGAUUUAAAGGAAAUACAAUGCUACAUUUGCAAUAGAUUUGGCCAUCUUUGUUGUGCUGCCUUUGGUGAUACCGGCCCAAGAAAACCUUCUUGUUACAGAUGUGGUCAGUUGGGCCAUACCGGUUUGGAAUGCCAAAGGUCACAUGGUGAGCCAACUAGUGUGGGGCCACUUAGUCCUUGCUUCAAGUGUGGCGAAGGACAUUUUGCACUACAAUGCACAAGUUCAACUAAGGUUCAUGAGAGGAAUCUUGACUUGGCAACCCCAACCCAGAAAUUUCGCAAAGAUAACAUAGAGACUGUGGGAGUCAAGUCCGUGCCUUCUGAUUCUGGCAAGUCUCAGAAAAGGAAAAGGGCUCAAUAUGAAGGAGGAAGAUUUUCUACGCCAUCUAACUCAAGACGGAGUGGUGGUUGGAAUACCGAAUAUGAAGGAGGAAGAUUUUCUACGCCAUCUAACUCAAGACGAAGUGGGGGUUGGAAUACCGAAUAUGAAGGAGGAAGAUUUUCUACGCCAUCUAACUCAAGACGAAGUGGUGGUUGGAAUACCGAAUACUCUGGAGGCUUACAGCAUGGAUAUGGCCAGGUGCCUGUAUGGGGAGUAAUACCAACUUAUAAUGCCCAGGUGCCUGGAUGGGGAACUCCAGUAAUACCAACUUACAAUGGAAAUCUGAUAUAUACUCCCAUGGCUGAUGGUCAUGCUUCAAGUUCUCAUCUUCUUAGAAGGGCUCAAGAGCUACAUUUUGGACCUUUAGCUUCAAAUAUAUCGCCCAUAUUUCACCAGAACAUUUAUCCAGGAUCAACAUACGGCAACUUUAGUGGCUAUGGGAUGAGGAGUAACUAUUAUUGGUAGCAGGAACCUUUUUUUCCUUAUCACAGCAAGACCCUUAUGAGGCAGGAGCCUUGAUUAAUAGGGGAUUUGACUCAGAGGCUCUCCCUGUGGGUUCUAAACCUUGUAUCACCUUUAGCCAAAACAUAAGUUGGUGGUGUACCUUGGUAGAUGUUUAAAGCAUAUUUGAUUUUCCUGCCUGUGAAAUGGGAGUAUAAAACUACAUGUGCAAGAUGAAUUAUUCAGUCGUGAAUCGAUCCUGAUCUACCUUUGGGUUGGCUCGGACUCUCGGUCGUGGUCCUAGUGGCGGGUAAUGUUUCCUGUACUCAUAGAAAUUACUGUUGGUGUACAUUUUUUUUCUUUUUUUCCCUAGAACAGAGAAAUCAAAGUGUACAUUCUUGGUUGGGAAAUCCUAAAAGCCUGUACUUGGGAGUAUUUUUUUUGGGUACACCUUGUACUUGGAGUAUGAUCGUCUCCUGCAUUCGUCGAAUUUAGAUUGAAACAAAAAUGCUGAAUUUAGUUAUAGUUAUAAGUGUCCACCUUUCAGACCUC
RNA transcript from Rhododendron vialii, 2151 nucleotides. RefSeq lists it as uncharacterized. NCBI's taxonomy places the organism in Eukaryota, Viridiplantae, Streptophyta, Magnoliopsida, Ericales, Ericaceae. The transcript is spliced from 9 exons. The record is from RefSeq and is a predicted model, not a curated record.